This 157-nucleotide unclassified non-coding RNA is filed under the name soil metagenome. RNAcentral describes it as "partial internal transcribed spacer 1". The record is from RNAcentral.
CAGGACUCGCAAGACUCCUACAACCCUGUGAACCUACUAUACGAACGUUGCUUCGGCGGGUGCGCCCCGGGGAUUCGUUCCCGCGGCGCGUCAGCCCGCCGGCAGCCUACAAAUUCUGUUUCUUUGCGUUGGCAUCUCGAGAAAAACAAAAUAAGUU